This 96-nucleotide transfer RNA is filed under the name Alienimonas californiensis. RNAcentral's name for it is "Planctomycetes bacterium CA12 tRNA-Arg". Lineage: Bacteria; Pseudomonadati; Planctomycetota; Planctomycetia; Planctomycetales; Planctomycetaceae. The record is from RNAcentral.
CUGCCCCGGGCGGCGCUAACCGUCGCCGUGCUUCGACUGCGGCUGAGGAGUCGGCUCCGCCUUCGCCGGGCCGUUCUUCGACGGCGGCGGCGGGCC